AAUUUAAUUUAUUUUAAGAUUUAAUUAACUUGGUUGUUUAAAUUUUUGAAUAAUUAAAAUUUUACGGGGAUGAGCUGGUAAAAUUUGAUUAAAUUUUUUUUUGUAAUUGAUAAAUUGUAGGAUUAGUAUUGUCUGUCUUUUGAGUAUGUUAUGAUUCAUUAUUAAUUAUUUUUGAUUUUUUAUUGAAUUAAUUUGUUUAUUAAAAUGUAGUAUUUAAUUUUAAUUUAUUAGUAAUAAUUAUAGAAUUAGUAAAUUUUUAUUUUUAUUGAUAAUUAUGUUUUGUAGGUGAUUUAAAGGAAUUCGGCAAAUUUAUUUCUCGCCUGUUUAUUAAAAACAUGUUCUUUUGUUUAUGAUUUAAGAUUUAACCUGCCCAGUGAUUUUUUAAAUGGCCGCGGUAAAUUGACCGUGCGAAGGUAGCGUAAUCAUUAGUUUUUUAAUUGAAAGCUGGUAUGAAUGGUUGGACGAGGGAAUUACUGUCUCUAGAUUAUUUAAUUUGAAUUUUAUUUUUGAGUCAAAAAGCUUAAAUUGGUUUGAAAGACGAGAAGACCCUAUAGAGUUUAACUUAUUGGUUAGUUUUGUUUAAAGAUGCUAGAUUAAUUCUUAAGUUUUGUUGGGGUGAUAGAAAGAUUAAAUUAACUCUUUUAAUAUUAUUUCAUAUGUAAAUGUAUAGGUGAUCCAAUUUUUGUUGAUUAUUAGAUUAAAUUACCUUAGGGAUAACAGCGUAAUCUUUAUUUAGAGUUCUUAUCGAAAUAUAAGGGUUGCGACCUCGAUGUUGGAUUAAAAUAUAC
Molecule: ribosomal RNA, 788 nt
Filed under: Tropicus pusillus
Lineage: Eukaryota; Metazoa; Arthropoda; Insecta; Coleoptera; Heteroceridae
Description: partial 16S ribosomal RNA
Rfam family: Archaeal large subunit ribosomal RNA (bases 274-524)
Source: RNAcentral